RNAcentral lists this long non-coding RNA (215 nucleotides) under Fukomys damarensis (Damara mole-rat). RNAcentral describes it as "lncRNA (ENSFDAG00000033095.1)". The record is from RNAcentral. Lineage: Eukaryota; Metazoa; Chordata; Mammalia; Rodentia; Bathyergidae.
UUUGGCAUUAAGCAGCUAACCUGAGUCGGACAUCCAUGUCAUGACGAAACGUGCGGUGACCUCUGGGGGACGGCGGGAGGUGCCAGGGCGAGAGUGGUGAUGGCCUCGGGCCAGAGCAGCAGCCUUCAUCACAGGAAGCUCUCAUUUCGUUUCCUAAAAAGUAUACAUCGGCUGGCAGCCUUAAAUCUCAAUGCGGACACCCGAAUAAAUACCCC